UGCCGAGCUCCAAACAGUCCUGCAGGUUCAGCUUGUCGUUCUGGGAGGCGAUGAUGGGCCUGGCGGGUUUUGGAUCAGUCACUGCUUUAAAUGUGUUUGUGCCUGUUGGGCUGAAGGACGAACCAUAGAGGCCUUUCCUGAGCGGGUUCACGAUGGACAGGUCGUUGCAGGGGCUGCCGCCAAUCAGCAGAAAAGGGAAGCAGCAGAUUCGACCCACCAGCUCCUGGGAGACGAAUCGGACGUCUCCGACAUGGACGAUCUUCGCGUCGU
Non-coding RNA from Poecilia reticulata (guppy), 270 nucleotides. The record is from RefSeq and is a predicted model, not a curated record. NCBI's taxonomy places the organism in Eukaryota, Metazoa, Chordata, Actinopteri, Cyprinodontiformes, Poeciliidae.